GAUGGAGCCCAUGGUGGGUACAGGUCCCUGUGUAUGGAGAUGGAGCCCAUGGUGGGUACAGGUCCCUGUGUAUGGAGAUGGAGCCCAUGGUGGGUACAGGUCCCUGUGUAUGGAGAUGGAGCCCAUGGUGGGUACAGGUCCCUGUGUAUGGAGAUGGAGCCCAUGGUGGGUACAGG
Molecule: long non-coding RNA, 176 nt
Organism: Apodemus sylvaticus (European woodmouse)
Lineage: Eukaryota; Metazoa; Chordata; Mammalia; Rodentia; Muridae
Exons: 3
Source: RefSeq, a predicted model, not a curated record